GAUGAACGCUGGCGGCGUGCCUAAUACAUGCCAGUCGAGCGAACGGACGAGAAGCUUGCUUCUCUGAUGUUAGCGGCGGACGGGUGAGUAACACGUGGAUAACCUACCUAUAAGACUGGGAUAACUUCGGGAAACCGGAGCUAAUACCGGAUAAUAUUUUGAACCGCAUGGUUCAAAAGUGAAAGACGGUCUUGCUGUCUCUUAUAGAUGGAUCCGCGCUGCAUUAGCUAGUUGGUAAGGUAACGGCUUACCAAGGCAACGAUGCAUAGCCGACCUGAGAGGGUGAUCGGCCACACUGGAACUGAGACACGGUCCAGACUCCUACGGGAGGCAGCAGUAGGGAAUCUUCCGCAAUGGGCGAAAGCCUGACGGAGCAACGCCGCGUGAGUGAUGAAGGUCUUCGGAUCGUAAAACUCUGUUAUUAGGGAAGAACAUAUGUGUAAGUAACUGUGCACAUCUUGACGGUACCUAAUCAGAAAGCCACGGCUAACUACGUG
RNAcentral lists this ribosomal RNA (497 nucleotides) under uncultured bacterium. RNAcentral describes it as "partial 16S ribosomal RNA". It matches the Rfam family "Bacterial small subunit ribosomal RNA", at positions 28 to 507 of the family's 1533-position model. The record is from RNAcentral.